This 236-nucleotide ribosomal RNA is filed under the name uncultured Actinomycetales bacterium. Its description in RNAcentral is "partial 16S ribosomal RNA". It matches the Rfam family "Bacterial small subunit ribosomal RNA", at positions 96 to 334 of the family's 1533-position model. Lineage: Bacteria; Bacillati; Actinomycetota; Actinomycetes; Actinomycetales. The record is from RNAcentral.
UGGCGAGCGGGUGAGUAACACGUGGGUAAUCUGCCCUGCACUCUGGGAUAAGCCUGGGAAACUGGGUCUAAUACUGGAUAUGACCUUUCUCCUUAUGGGGUUUGGUGGAAAGUUUUUCGGUGUAGGAUGAGCCCGCGGCCUAUCAGCUUGUUGGUGGGGUGAUGGCCUACCAAGGCGACGACGGGUAGCCGGCCUGAGAGGGUGAUCGGCCACAUUGGGACUGAGAUACGGCCCAG